Molecule: long non-coding RNA, 7562 nt
Filed under: Gossypium barbadense (sea-island cotton)
Lineage: Eukaryota; Viridiplantae; Streptophyta; Magnoliopsida; Malvales; Malvaceae
Description: long non-coding RNA (GBAR_LNC022069)
Source: RNAcentral
UCAGUUGGUCCUCAUAAAUGAUUCUGACUUUUCCUCUGCCCAAGACCACUGAAACGUAAAAGCAUAUCUUCUCAAAUCUUUUCCUUGUCAAUUUGCUUUUCAGAACAGUGCUAUUUCCUACCAUUUCAAGCAUCGCCCCAUAUUACUGAAAGCUGAGGUCUUCCCAUUUUCUUUUACUCUGAAGAACCCAGAUGAUUUGGCUCUGAUUCUCUUCUAGAUGAUCUUAAGGUCUCUCCCUCCAGGUACUGUUCCUCUCCCUUCUUAAGUGUUUCUUUUGCUAGACGAUGGGCUUCUGUGUUUUCUAACCUCGGGAUAAAAUAGAAUCUGAUUUCUUGAUACUGAUCCUUUAAGCUUUGAAUAUCACUGAUUAUUGCCCCUAUUUCUGAUAUGUCUCGACUUGUAUUUUGGCAUUUUGUAAUCACUGUUCUUGAGUCUCCGGUUAUAUCUAAAGUAUGAUAGCCCAACUGAAUCCCUAACCUUAUUGCUUGUAAACCUGCAAAUGCUUCUGCCGCGAAUGGAGAUGCAAUAUUUUCAUGAAGGGUCGACUUUACUGCAACGAUCCUACCUUCCUCAUUUCUAACAACUAGGCCUGACGCAGAUCUGGAAUUCUGUAAGUCGAAAGCCACAUAAAAAAAAAAGAUGGCCUUUUUCGCCCUUUGUAAACUUUGUCUAUGCCUCACACUAGUUUCCACGUUGAGUUCCUUAUCUCUACUCCCUUCCAGUUCCAGAAUAUAGCUUUUUAUUUGUUUGGAGAUAUCUCUGCUAGUGCUUGAUCUGUUUUCAUAUAAUAAUUUAUUUCUGUUUGUCCAGAUUAACCAGAGCCCGCAACAGAAAUCCCUGCACUGUUCGUUUGUCCCUUGGCUGAAAACCCAAGUAAGCCAACUCCAGAUAUCCAAAUGACUAUUGUUGAGUAUCCAUGAAAAAUUUAAGUGACUCCAUAUUUCCUUUGCUGUAGGGCACAGAUGGAAAACAUGGAAACUAUCUUCUCCUUCCUGACCGCAUCUCGAACAUCGAUCCUCAGCCAUCACUUUUCGCAGCUCUAGAUUGGAGAAAAUGGGAAUGUAAUUCCACGCUAUUUUUCAUACUGUAAUCUUGAUUUUUAAGGGCAUAUGUAAAUUCCAUAGUUUUCUGUAGAAAUUUUUAGUAUCGGUCUGUAAAUAAACACUAGGAUCAAUUGUAGCUUUCUGUAAUAGUAUAUAGGCACUCCUUACUGAAAAGUCACCAGUUGCCUCCCCUCUCCAUACUUGGAUGUCUUUAUGGAUUAACUUUGAAAGCGGAAUCUGUAGUAUUUUCCUAGUGAUAUCCGAGUUAAAGGUACGGACAAUCAAGUGUCUAUUCCAUGUUCUGCUUUCCUCAUUGAUUAAGUCAAACACUACUCUAAUAUUUUUAAUGUUGCUGUUAUUCUGUAUUCUGUCUACAGUCAUUCUCGGCACCCAUAGAUCAUUCCAUACUGAAAUGUGGUCUCAUUUACCAACUCUUUAGCAUAAUCCAUCUGUGAGGAGUUUUUUUGUUGACCAAAUACUCCUCCAGGUAAGUGAAGGUAAGUUACUCAAAAAAGCAUUUAAGAAGUUUGUUGUUGAAAAAUAUUUCACUUUUAAAACUUGGGCUAAUAAAGAACUCGGAUAAUUAAAAAGACGCCAACCCUGUUUUGCCAGCAAAGCUAUGUUAAAUUUAUCAAGACUUCUAAAACCUAACCCACCCAAUUCUUUUUCAAUGCAAAUAUCCUCCCAAGCACACUAAUGGAUCUCUCUUUUUUCCCCUUAUUUUUCUGCCACCAAAAUUUUGCAAUAAUACCAUCUAAUUCCUUGAAAAAAGAUUUAGGGAGUAAAAAACACGUCAUUGAGUAGGUUGGUAUAGAUUGUAAAACAGCUUUGAUGAAAACCUCUUUACCUCCUUGUGAGAGAUAUCUGAUACUCCAAUUGUCAAUUCGUUGCUUGAAUCUAUCCUUCAGCAUCUGGAACGCUGCCUUAUUCCUUCUACCCACCAGGCUAGGUAGCCCUAAAUAUCUUUCCAUAUCAUCUGAACUUCGUACCCCAAUAACUCGAAUAAUUGUUCUUCUUUCUCCUUCCUAAGUAUUGCUGCUGAAAAAAAUUGUGGAUUUUGAAAAGUUAACUUUCUGACCCGAGCAAAUUUCAUAUUCACGGAUGACCUGUUUUAAAAAAAAUUAAACCCCUCUCAGUAGCUUCCCCAAACAGUAUGCAAUCAUUCGCAAAAAGUAAAUGUGAAACAUGCGGCCCGCUUCUGCUUGUUUUGACACCUCUUAUUUUGUUCUCCUGCAUACCUAAUUUCAUAAGGCUAGAGAGACCUUCUCCAUAGAACAAGAAUAAGAACAGACUCAACGGGUCCUCUUGUCGUAAUCCUCUUGAAGGAUAAAAGAAGUCUCCAUUAUGUCCAUUAAGGACCACUGAAUAUGAAACUCUAUUAACGCAUCUUAAUAGUUGGGUCACCAACUCUGAAUCAAAACCCAUUUUCUUUAUUAUUUCCUCCACAAAAUUUCAUUCCACCCUAUCAUAUGCCUUGCUCAUAUCCAACUUGACCGCCAUAAAACCCUUCUUCCCUGACCGCUUCUGUUUCAAUGUAUGGAUUAAUUCAUAAGCCAGCAACACGUUAUCUGAGAUCAAUCUCCCAGGCACGAAAGUGCUUUGUGCAGGAUCAAUGCAUUUGUCUAACACUUUCCGAAUGCGAUUAGCAAAAACUUUAGCCAUUAAUUUGAAGAUUACAUUACACAAACUAAUAGGCCUAAAGUGCGAUAUAUCUAUUGGAUUUGAAAUUUUCAGAAUUAAAACAAUAUUUGUUCUAUUGACUGGGCCUAUCUCCAUCUUUCCAUUCAGUUGAUCAAGACAAUAAGAAGUGACCUCCUCUCUGAUAAUUGCCCAACACUUCUGAUAGAAUAACGUUGGAAAUCCAUAUUCCCCUGGUGCCUUAGUGGGCCCUAAUUCUGCCAAAGCCUGCUGAAUUUCCUCCUUUGUAUAUCUCUCUUUUAACAUUAAAUUAUCUUCAUUUGAAAUACAUCGAUGAACUCCAGAUAAAACAUGCUCAUAAUUUGCAGAUAUGCCAGUGAAAAAUAACUGUUUGAAAUAUGAUCUAGCAAUCAUUUUCAUUUCUUUUCAUUCUUCCGUCUCCCUCCCAUCAUCGUUCUUCAUUUUGUGAAUCAGGUUCCUCUGUCGUUUCUGUGUAGCUUGUUUGUGGAAAAAGGCUGUAUUUUUAUCCCCAAAUUUUAACCAGUUAACCCUCGCUAUUUGUUCCCAAAAGCACUCAUCCUUUUCGAUCUCGAAGUUAAGUUGGAUCUUUGUAUCAAUCUGGUCGGCUAGAUUUUCUUCAUUUCUUUCUGCUUCUAGUAGUGAAGCCAAUUUUGAUGAUAACAACUUCUUCCUUUCUUUUCUAGAAAAUCGAAUUUGACUAGCCCAUCGCUCCAGCCCCCUUUUCAUACUGUCCAACUUGCUUAAAAACUCUCCUUCAGAAUGUCCCAUAUGUCUUUAACCGUAUUUUAAGAACGAGUCCUCCAGUACCCACCAUGCUUCAAAUUUGAAACAUUUUUGUAUUCUCUCUCUGCACCCCUUCUUUGUGUUAACCAGUAAUGGGCAAUGGUCAGAAAACGUAUAUGGAAGAUGUUGAAGCUAAAAAUCAGGAAAUAAAUGCAGCCAAUCUUCUGUCGCCACUCCUGUAUCUAACCGCUCUUGAAUAUUAUUUUCAGGUAAGUUCCCCCUUUCCCACGUAAACCAGUUUCCAAUAAACCCCAUAUCAGAUAAAUUAAAUUCCUCUAAAGUCUUACAAAAACCUUCCAUUCGUCCUUCCUCUCGCACUAAACCGCUUUUUUUUUCAAAACUAUACAGAAUUUCAUUAAAAUCUCCACAAAUCAUCCAUGGUAACUCCCUACCCAUACCUAACUGCCGUAAUAGGUUUCAUGUCUUAGCUCUAUCAUGUGAAUAUGGAGACCCAUAAAAACCUGUAAACCUCCGUUUGUAUCCUUCAUCCUCUUCAUCAAUGAUCACAUCAAUAUGCUGUUUUGAAAAACUCUGAAGCUGAAUAUUUUUAUACUCGCACCAAGCCAAACACAGCCCACCUCUAGAACCAUCUGAACUCACAUCAAUACCGUUUAAAAACCUACAACUCCUUCGAACUCUUUCCAUUUGAUUAUUACUUAUUUUUGUCUCCAUGAAGAAGACUACUUGGGGAUUAUAUAAGUUCAGUAUAUACCGAAAUCUCCGAAUUGUCCGUGGACUCCCCAAUCCACGGAUAUUCCAGCUUAGGAUUUUUAUUGCACUCGGUCGGCUUGCCACUUGGCAGCCACCGAUGAUUGAUGACUAACCUCUAUUGUUCUCCUACUCUUUGCCGCCAAAAUAUUUGUCUCCUCUUUGGUCAGAGCUGCUUCCAUCUCCCUUCUGUUUCUCUUCUUGCCCUCCUCACCAAUAAACACUUCAUCUUCAAGAUCAUGUUCCAUUGAGUUAUUCAUCAGAAUCCCACUCCAAUUCUCAUUUACUUCCCAUGUUUGAGAUCUACUUCCUACAAGGUUUAUCCUUAAUAUUGGUGUAACAGCCCAAUUUCGACUCUAAUCGAACAUAGUGGUUUCAGGACCACAACUCCAAGACCAAAAAAAAAUAUUUUAAUAUUAUUUUGUCUGUUUAUUUUGUGUGCAUUUGAUUGUGUGAAAUUUUCGUGUUUUAAUUUUGUUGUUUGAGUGUCCGAUUAAAUAAAAGGAUUAAAUCACGUAAAAUAAAAAUUUAAUGGUUAAAUAUGAAAGUGUCUAUUUGUUGUUGUCUUUAUAAUUUGGAGGAUUUAAGAAGCAAUUAGCCCACCAUUAGGUGAGUGGAUGGCAAUGGUCAAGAAUGACCUUAUAAUAUGUGUUAUACAUUAUAUUUUAACAAAGGUUAAUUAAGUAAAUUAAUUAUUAUGGUUAAUAUAUGUUAAAUAUAACAAAUUUAAAACAUGUUCUUCAUCUUUUUCUACCGAAACCAAGAGAGAAAAUAAGGGUUCAAAGCUUUGGAAAAUUCGGCACUUACAAAGCUUGAUUAAGGUAUGAAUAUUGUUCGGUUUUUGAUAAUUUUUAUGUUUUUGAGAUCGUUGCUUCGGGUACUAUUCGACCCAUGCUUGAAUUUUUGAUUUUGAUGAAUAUUUUGAGCUAUGCCAUUUAUGAAUAAUUGUGUUUUGUGAUGUUUGAUAAUGAAUAAUGAAAGAUAUGUUUUAGAUUAAUAUGUUUUGUAUUGGAAUUUUUGGUGAAAUUGAGUAAAUAGGGUGAAAUUGCAAAAAUAAUAUUUUUAGAGACUAAAAUGUGAAAUAAAUGAAAUGAGUGGACUUGUAUGAAGACAAGGAACAUUCGGCCCUAGCUUAGUGUGGGCAAAUUUUGUGUAUUUUGUGUUUUGUGCAAAAAGGACUAAAUUGCAAAAAGUGUAAAAUGUUAGGGGCAAAAUAGUAAUUUUCCCAUUUAUGUAUUUUUGGACUUAAUUGAAUAUUUUGAUGAAUAAAAAGGUUAAAUUUGAUUAUGUUUAGAUCAAUAAACAAAGAGAGCGGAUUUGGAUCGGGGAAAAACGAAAGUAAUCGAAUAGUCGAUCGUGUCCUUUGAUAUCCGAGGUAAGUCUAUUAGCAAUUUGAUGUUAUUAAAUCAGCAUAUAUGUAUGUAUAUCUAUUGUAUUUUGAUGAGUUGAAAUCGAAAGUAUAUAGAUUGAAUUUGGUUAAAGUAUGAAUGAUAUUUAUAUAUAUAUGUAUACAUAAGGUCCGAAUAUAUAUAAGUAUAUACAUGUAUAAACCCUUAGACUUGGUUAAAGGCAUGAAUGUUAUAUAUAUGUAUAUGUGAGUUGGAACAUAUAAGUAUAUACCUGAAUAAGUCUUGAAUAUAUUUAAAGGUAUGAAAGUUAUGUAUGUAUAUGUAAUUUCGAAUAUGUAUAUGUAUAUAUAUAUGCAUAUCUAUUGUUUAUUUGGUGAGCUAUAAUUAAAAGUAUAUGGAUCGAAAUUAGUUAAUGUAUGAAUGUUAUAUAUAUAUGCAUAAAUGAAGUUCGAACAUGUAUAUAUAUGUAUAUGAUCUUAAAUUUAGUUAAAGGUAAGACUGUUAUAUAUAUAUAAGAUUCGAAAAUGUAUAUAUUUAUGUAUAAGAUUUUGAAUUUAAUUAAAGGUAUGGACGAUAUAUUUAUAUAUAUAAGGUUCAAAUAUAUAUAUGUAUAUAUAUAGGUAUAAGUUUUUGAAUAGAAUUAAAAGUAUGAAUUCUAUAUAUAUAUACGUAGGUGUGAGGUUUGAAUAUAUAGUUAUGUGUAUAUAUAUGUAUUUGAAUUGAAUGUAAAGUAUGGACUUUACAUAUGCAUGUGUGUGGUUCGAAUAAAUAUAUAUACAUAUACAAAUACUUGAGUUGGAUUAAAAGUAUAAUUUGUAAAUGCUUAUAUGAUUCAAACAGGGAUUACAAAUUUCUUUUUGAGAUAAAGUUGAGGUUGUGAAUUAUACAUAAAUGUUAUGAACAUGUGUUGCUAUUAAGAAAUAUACGAGGAAAUCAUCUUUGUAUCUGUGAAAUUGAAAUUUUCAGGUUAAGCGCCUAGAAGGCUUAAUGCCGGUGAAUUUUUCAAAUUAUAAGUCUAGCAGGCUAAGUGCCGGUGAUUGAAAUCAGGUUAUAAACCUAGCAGGCUACGUGCCGGUGAUAUGAAUCAGGCUAUAAGCCUAGCAGGCUAAGUGCCGGUGAAUAUGUUAAAUUAUGUGAUUAUAUGCAUUAGAUAGAUUUAUAAAUAUAACUAAUUUUGGGUUAUAUAUAUAAUGAAUAAGUAUAUGAAUAUUUAUUUAUAUGUGUUCGAUGAGCUUAUAAAUGUUUCAACCUAUGAGUUUAGUGAAUAGGCAUAUAUAUAUUGGUUGAUAUGAAAAUUGUUGAAUAUACUUGUACGAAAUCGACACAUGUGGCUUAGAAGUAUAAAUGUGCAUAUGAUUCAUGUAGUUUAUAAGUGGAAAUAUAAGUUUUUGACAUAUGUUUUUGAAAGAUCAUAAACAAGCAUUCAAUGAAAUGCAAAUGAUAAGUAUAUUUGGAAUAUAUAUAUGCAAUUAAUGAUUAUGUAUGUAACUUGAUUUUUAGGUAUAUAAUGAUUAUACAUGUGAUCGUUUAUAUGUAUUUUGGUUAUGCUAUAAACUUACUAAGCUAUAAAAGCUUACUUUGAAUGUUUUUGUUCAUUUGUUUUAUAGAUUUUGGAGACGCGUUACGAGCUCGGGGAUCAUCAGCAUAGUCUAUCACACUAUCGACUUCUUUUGGUAUUUUAUUAACAGUUUGAACUCGAUCUUAUGGCAUGUAUAGGUUUGAGUAUGAUUUUGGUUAGAUUUGGAUUGUAUAUAUAUAUAAAUAGCCAUGCGAAGAUGGUUUAAUUUCCAUGUUUGUGAUCAGUUUGGUUUUUUUAAAAAAAUGGUUGUGUUUGUUCGGUAAUGCCUCGUAACCCUAAUUCGGCGACGGAUACGGGUUUGUCAUCAUUAUUAUCCAUAUUUUCAUUAUUAUCCCUAUUUUCCGCUAGAUCUCUUGAGUUAUUCCUUAUAAAUUGUCUUUUCCCAUUGUUCCCACGCCCCUGUUCCUCUCCUUCUUCUCGCAACCAUACGCUUGUCAUCAU